UCAGUAAAUUGAUUGAUGAUGGUAGCAGAC
Molecule: non-coding RNA, 30 nt
Filed under: Rattus norvegicus (Norway rat)
Lineage: Eukaryota; Metazoa; Chordata; Mammalia; Rodentia; Muridae
Source: RNAcentral